RNAcentral lists this long non-coding RNA (2733 nucleotides) under Musa acuminata (dwarf banana). RNAcentral describes it as "long non-coding RNA (MACU_LNC003465)". Lineage: Eukaryota; Viridiplantae; Streptophyta; Magnoliopsida; Zingiberales; Musaceae. The record is from RNAcentral.
ACACACACACAUAAAUGUUGCACUGCAUCCUAAAACGUACGUCUGCUUGUAGUGUUGUUUUCUUCUUCCUGUUCUUUAUUAUGUGCUGUGCGUUGUGGUCAAUGGGGUUGCGUGUGGCGGGGAUGGCCUGAAGAGAGGUAGGAGGAGCAAACGAGUGGGGCGUCAAAAAGGUACAAUUAUUGUGCUUGGAAUAUAUAGGCUUCUGGUUCUGUCUUCUCCUUGUGGCUUCGCUUUGGCCUUGCUUUGUUUAUUUCUCCGGUGCCACCUCCUUGUCACCGGACGUGUGGUGGUGGACUGUAAAGCUCAUACAAUAUAUAUAUAUAUUACCUUGUGAAGUGGAGCACUGGGUGGUGGGUUGCAUGUGGUGGUGGUGGCCAUGGCACAAGGACCACACACCUAGGGUUUCAUUGAACUUUCUUGGAUGAGAGAGAACCGAGUGCUCCUAAGGAAUCUCUCUUUGUUCUUGUUUCUUGCACUUAACAAGCAGCAAGUACCUAAUGGAGGGGAAACUUCUUAGGUUAUGGUCGAAUCGCAGGAAGCUACACUUGAUUCAAAACUUAUUUUGAUUCAAAAGGCAGUCAUCAAUUUGAACCAUGAAGAUGAUCUGAUUUGGUGUGUCUGGUUCUGAAUCUUGAUGUAUAUCGAUACAUAACCUAUAGUAUGAAUCUUGAGAAGAUAUGACUAAUGACGAAAACCUUGAAGUAGCCUUUGAACUAAGCUACAUCUUUAUGUUACUUCUGCAAGAGAAGACCACCACGAUAAGAUUUCUCCCAUGUUCAAAUCAACCGAAUCAAGAAGAACAUGGGGUUAUUGUUGGAGAAUUCCCUAUUUACGGUUUGAAAAAUAUUUUUCGGAUCAUUCCUGAGCAAGAGACAAGAUGACCUCAUUUCAUCUAUGAAUAAGAAUAGCUUGGAGACAUGCUAAGGUAAUGUUGUGUAUGAAAUGCAUAGCUGAUCAUUAUGAAAUAUUGGAAGCAUUGGAGGGAAAGAUACUAUAAGCUAAAUUGAAGUACAAUUUAGCUUUUGCAACCUCAUAUGGCAUCAUGCACAAGUCAUGCACAGUUGGUUGGAUCAGCAAGCAUGUAGCUGAAUCAACCAAUGGUGACAUGGGCAUCAAUCGAAACAGCCAAGUAAUCUCAGGUUGCAGAUUUAGGAUAGUGGUACUCUUGAAUCUUGGCAUCCAUAGUCUUAGUCAUUUUGUGGCUUGAGUCUUUCCCUUGAUGUUUCUCACUUUCUUGGCUACUCCUUCCGUGACGCAUCUAAUGUAUGAUAGUCCCACUUGAGGUCAUCAGAGUGGGAUUCUGAUUUCUGUGCUUCACGCACAUGUGAUGUUGGAUGUUGCAAAUAUCCUCAAGUCUCUUCCUUGGGAGGAACAUAAUUUACAAUAUUUUUUUUGUGCAAAAAAAUAUUGAUGGAAGAUAGAGUUUAUGAUGAUGGUGAUGGAUUCUACUAGAUAAGAAUUUUAAAUUAUACAAUAAGUAUGGAUUAAACUGGUGAAGGUUAACAUGAUAGAUUGGAUACUAAAUCUGACUUUACAAUCAUUUGAGAUUUAGAAUUUUCUUUAGACUUUUUCACAUGCAUGGAUAUUCUUUUAAUAAAUUCUUUUAUUCAUGUGCUGCUCAAUUAUCUCUCUCUUAUUUGUAAGAGUAGUUUAAUCUAUUUUUCUUUUUUAUUUGGUUGCAAAUAAUAUCUAGAUUUUAUCUUCUUUUUGGACUUAUUUUUAUAUAAUUCUUGAAUAUGAUUACAAUGGUAAGUCUGAGUUAUAAAAAUAGUCUCUUUAAGAUAUUUAAAGAUAAUAUUUUACUAGAUAUUAUGUAUGCCAUUUUUUUAAUUAUUGAAUAUAAUACCAUGUAUAAAAUAUUAAAUUAUACAACAAAUCUGAGUUAAAAUGGUUAUGAUUAAUAUAGGUUAAGUUAGACACUAAUUCAAUCCAGAAGCUUAAAAUUAUUAUGUUGUAGGUCAGAUCAUCAUCCGAUUCGUUCAAUUCUUAGUAAUAUUUUAUUUUAUACUUAUAUCUCUUUUUCUCCUAAAUUUUGACUGAUUUAUCUGAGGUGCAUGAUUUCCAAGGAAUAUGCUCCAUCGAGAACAAUUGGCAAUCGUAUGCAUGCAUGCAUCUUCAAAAUAAUAUGAAGUUGGAUUGGACUCAUUGUAUCAUGAUAGCAACUACCAAAAAGGCAUGCGGAUGACCACAAAAGUAUUAGGAGAUCUCCCACCAAGAACUCGAAACCAAAAGCUUCCGGUGCUUGAUUGUUUGGCAAAAGAAGCCAUUUCUUAUGACUGAAUAAAACUCGCAAGGCACCUUUUCCAAUGCAGACGGAUAGGGAGAUGGAGGUUUCUUGUUCUGUAGGAAGAGCAAUAGGUGUGGGCUCUAAUGGUGAUGGAUCUUAUCAUUUCAUUUAUUCAAAGAAUGCUUAUACACUGACAUGAACUUAAAGUCUUCAUCGCAGAUGAAGAGGAGUUGGUUGGUGUAUGGAGUUAAACUAUCACUUCAUUUCAAGCAAUGACUUGCAGGUGGGGAUGAACUCACUUCAUAGUAAUGCUUAGAUACCGACAUGAACUUUAGUCAGUCUGUUUGGACCAGAAUUUUGGCAGGCAAAAAAGAACAUAUGAACUCAUCUGAAGGCAACUUCCACUUGACAAAAACUUUGGUCAGCAGUAGGCUUCAACCUGAAACUUUUGGCUGGUAAAAGCUCUUGAGAUCCACUUGACUCAAAUUGUGUACACACCUCUAUAA